RNAcentral lists this long non-coding RNA (1598 nucleotides) under Homo sapiens (human). RNAcentral describes it as "long independently transcribed non-coding RNA 391, transcript variant 4 (LINC00391)". The record is from RNAcentral. Lineage: Eukaryota; Metazoa; Chordata; Mammalia; Primates; Hominidae.
AGUUACCACCCUGAGCCUUCCAGCUCGGCCGCCUCCUCGGCCUGAAGACUCCCCGCCUCCUCCCGCCCCCUCCCCUUUUCCCAAAGAUCAGCGUUUUCUGGGAGAAACGCUCCGGAGUUGUUGAUGAAUGAGAAGAGGACUGGAAAGAUGGAUAGGAGAAAGCACCGCGGAUCUCCCUCUCACCCCAGGCUCGGGGCGCAGAAGAUGGAGAGAAGAUUCCACUCUCCCCGGAGCAGAUAGGGACGGUCGCGCCAGCCAAUCAGAGCGCGGCUCGGCGCCGGCGCUCCCGGCCGCCUGGGCCGCCGUGUCCUCCAGCGCUGGAAUCUGUGGAGCAGGAAGCCUGGCAAUUCCAAGAUACGCGAUGAUCUUCAAACAUUCCCGGGAGCCAGUCCUGAGGCUCUGGCUUCAGGGCCUAGUUUCCAUUUAUGCCGCGUUUUUGAGAGUCUAAUACUGUGUCUGGCACAUGAAAGGUCCACGCAGGAUGGUCGCUUCCCCCUUGCUGAGAGUUUUGCCUUCAGCCUAUCUGGGCCGCUGGAAAAGAGGAGAAGAAUAAACAAGAGACAAGCAACUACUCCCCUACCGGCGUUCCGUCCUUGUCCUCACUGCCAAAUCCACUCCAAAGCCGAGGAUGGUUUCUCUCCUUGGCUCCUGCCCCUUUCCCCUCCCGGCUCCUUGUCCUUGACUGAACCUCAUGGGACAGAGAACCUCCUGUCCCCCACGAGGCAAGGCGCGAACCCGCAGAGAUCUGGGGUGCCCUUUGGUUCCCUGCGCUGCCCUGGAGGCGUCCAUAGAGGCCUUUGCCGCCAAGGACAGCAAUUGUUUUAUUUUCGAUGGUUGCUCGCCAGGCCUGCGGGUCGCGGGCCCACCCAGCCGUCGAACUUUCCAGUCGUUAUCAGCGCUGCUCCUAACUUAAUGGAAUAAUGCAAAUUAUAGCCUGCCCAGCUGACACGUCCCUGCGAAUGCGCCGGGGCUGAGCUCUGGCCAGCCGCUCUCUCGACGUCCUGGACGGCCGGAGGGAAUGAAGCUCUGAAUUGUGACAAAAGUGGGGGGGGGGCACCCCAAAUUCUCAAAGCAAUGUUCUUUUUUUUUUCUUUUUUCUUAAGCAAUUGAGCCUUACCAAAUGUCGGGGCCGCACGGAAGCCUUGCAUAUUUUAAAGUGUAACCUGAGCCUUCGCGGUUUCAGCUUCACUUAAAACAUGCAAAUUCUUGAAAUUGAAAAAUCUGAAAAACUUCCGAAGAGUUCUAUCUGAAUAAAUCCAAAUCCAUUGGGAGUCGCUUUGAGGAGACAAAACGCACAGCGAUUUGGGGUGAGGGAUAUUUGUGGGGAGGCAGGACGUGCUGGAUUGGGUUUCCAGGGUCAAGGUGUCUCUGGGCCUUCGACGAUAGCCUUAGCGCAGAGCAGGGAAGUGGCACCGCUAGGCAGCAAGCUCAGUUGCUCUACUUUUGUGACCCAUCCCCCCACCCCCCCCACCGCCACCCUUGCCUCCGGGCCACUGCCCCUCUCUGCAAGCUUUGUCCGCUGGACUCCGUUGCCCUUGCGCGGCCGCCCCAUCACUCACGCUUGACUGGAGGAAAUAAAAUUGGCGUUGGCUUUUUAA